AAGUCAUUGUGGGUGCAGUUCCUCAAUAAGCCUUUGUAUCUCUCCCAUGCCUCAUAGAGUGACUCACCCGGUUGUUGCUUAAAAUUAUAAAUGGCUUUCUUCAACUU
Molecule: small nucleolar RNA, 107 nt
Organism: Lactuca sativa (garden lettuce)
Lineage: Eukaryota; Viridiplantae; Streptophyta; Magnoliopsida; Asterales; Asteraceae
Source: RefSeq, a predicted model, not a curated record